GACGAACGCUGGCGGCGUGCUUAACACAUGCAGGUCGAGCGAGGCCCCUCCUUCGGGAGGGUGUCCUAGCGGCGAACGGGUGAGUAACACGUGGGCAACCUGCCCUCAGCUCUGGGAUAACUCCGGGAAACCGGGGCUAAUACCGGAUACGACCUCCACGGGCAUCUGCGGAGGUGGAAAGUUUUUCGGCUGAGGAUGGGCCCGCGGCCUAUCAGCUAGUUGGUGGGGUAGUGGCCCACCAAGGCGACGACGGGUAGCCGGCCUGAGAGGGCGACCGGCCACACUGGGACUGAGACACGGCCCAGACUCCUACGGGAGGCAGCAGUGGGGAAUAUUGCGCAAUGGGCGAAAGCCUGACGCAGCGACGCCGCGUGAGGGACGAAGGCCUUCGGGUUGUAAACCUCUUUCAGCAGGGACGAAGCGAAAGUGACGGUACCUGCAGAAGAAGCACCGGCCAACUACGUG
RNAcentral lists this ribosomal RNA (465 nucleotides) under uncultured bacterium. Its description in RNAcentral is "partial 16S ribosomal RNA". It matches the Rfam family "Bacterial small subunit ribosomal RNA", at positions 28 to 507 of the family's 1533-position model. The record is from RNAcentral.